AGAGUUUGAUCCUGGCUCAGGACGAACGCUGGCGGCAUGCCUAAUACAUGCAAGUCGAACGCUGAAGCACUCUGCUUGCAGAGUGCGGAUGAGUGGCGAACGGGUGAGUAACACGUGGGAAAUCUGCCUAGGAGUGGGGGAUAACAUUCGGAAACGGAUGCUAAUACCGCAUAUCUUUUUGAACCGCAUGGUUCUUAAACGAAAGACGGCUUCGGCUGUCGCUCUUAGAUGAUCCCGCGGCGUAUUAGUUAGUUGGUGGGGUAAAGGCCUACCAAGACCAUGAUACGUAGCCGACCUGAGAGGGUGAUCGGCCACACUGGGACUGAGACACGGCCCAGACUCCUACGGGAGGCAGCAGUAGGGAAUCUUCCACAAUGGGUGAAAACCUGAUGGAGCAAUGCCGCGUGAAUGAAGAAGGUCUUCGGAUCGUAAAGUUCUGUUAUUAGAGAAGAACAAGUCAAGGAGUAACUGUCUUGACUUUGACGGUACCUAACCAGAAAGUCACGGCUAACUACGUGCCAGCAGCCGCGGUAAUACGUAGGUGACAAGCGUUGUCCGGAAUUAUUGGGCGUAAAGGGAGCGCACGCGGUUGGAAUAGUCUGAUGUGAAAGCCCACGGCUUAACCCGUGGAAGGUCAUUUGGAAACUUGUCCCACUUGAAAUAAAAAAAAGGUAAAGUUGGAAUUCCAAGUGUGACGGUGAAAUGCGUUUAAUGUUGGGGAGGACCACCGGGGGCAAAGGCAAUUUGCGGGUCUGUAAUUUAACCUGAAGGUCAAAAGCGGGGGAUAAAAAAAGGAAUUAAAAACCCU
This 808-nucleotide ribosomal RNA is filed under the name uncultured bacterium. Its description in RNAcentral is "bacterial SSU rRNA". It matches the Rfam family "Bacterial small subunit ribosomal RNA", at positions 8 to 788 of the family's 1533-position model. The record is from RNAcentral.